UACGUAGGGGGCAAGCGUUGUCCGGAUUUAUUGGGCGUAAAGAGCGUGUAGGCGGUUUGGUAGGUCCGCUGUGAAAACUCGAGCUCAACCUCGAGACGCCGGUGGAAACCAUCAGACUAGAGUCCGGAAGAGGAGAGUGGAAUUCCUGGUGUAGCGGUGAAAUGCGCAGAUAUCAGGAAGAACACCCGUGGCUAAGGCGGCUCUCUAGUACGGUACUGACGCUGAGACGCGAAAGCGUGGGGAGCGAACGGG
This 252-nucleotide ribosomal RNA is filed under the name uncultured bacterium. RNAcentral's name for it is "partial 16S ribosomal RNA". It matches the Rfam family "Bacterial small subunit ribosomal RNA", at positions 524 to 776 of the family's 1533-position model. The record is from RNAcentral.